This 392-nucleotide ribosomal RNA is filed under the name uncultured bacterium. RNAcentral's name for it is "partial 16S ribosomal RNA". It matches the Rfam family "Bacterial small subunit ribosomal RNA", at positions 523 to 918 of the family's 1533-position model. The record is from RNAcentral.
AUACGUAGGGGGCGAGCGUUGUUCGGAAUCAUUGGGCGUAAAGGGCGCGCAGGCGGCGAGGCAAGUCCGGUGUGAAAGUGCUCGGCUCAACCGAGUGAUGCGCUGGAAACUGCCCUGCUUGAGUACAGGAGGGGACGUCGGAAUUCCAGGUGUAGGGGUGAAAUCUGUAGAUAUCUGGAAGAACACCGGUGGCGAAGGCGGAAGUCCGGCAAUGUACUGACGGUGAGGCGCGAAGGUGCGGGGAGCGAACAGGUUUAGAUACCCUGGUAGUCCGCACAGUAAACGAUGUGCACCAGGUGGCGGGGGGUAGCCCUCGGUACCGAAGCCAACGCAUUAAGUGCACCGCCUGGGGAGUAUGCCCGCAAGGGUGAAACUCAAAGGAAUUGACGGGG